AACGAACGCUGGCGGCAUGCCUAACACAUGCAAGUCGAACGAGACCUUCGGGUCUAGUGGCGCACGGGUGCGUAACGCGUGGGAACCUGCCCUUAGGUUCGGAAUAACUCCCCGAAAGGGGUGCUAAUACCGGAUAAUGUCUUCGGACCAAAGAUUUAUCGCCUUUGGAUGGGCCCGCGUUGGAUUAGCUAGUUGGUAGGGUAAAAGCCUACCAAGGCGACGAUCCAUAGCUGGUCUGAGAGGAUGAUCAGCCACACUGGGACUGAGACACGGCCCAGACUCCUACGGGAGGCAGCAAUGGGGAAUAUUGGACAAUGGGCGAAAGACUGAUCCAGCAAUGCCGCGUGAGUGAGGAAGGCGUUAGGGUUGUAAAGCUCUUUUAACCGGGAUGAUAAUGACAGUACCGGGAGAAUAAGCUCCGGCUAACUCCGUG
RNAcentral lists this ribosomal RNA (433 nucleotides) under uncultured bacterium. RNAcentral describes it as "partial 16S ribosomal RNA". It matches the Rfam family "Bacterial small subunit ribosomal RNA", at positions 29 to 507 of the family's 1533-position model. The record is from RNAcentral.